Molecule: transfer RNA, 73 nt
Filed under: Ictidomys tridecemlineatus (thirteen-lined ground squirrel)
Lineage: Eukaryota; Metazoa; Chordata; Mammalia; Rodentia; Sciuridae
Description: Spermophilus tridecemlineatus (thirteen-lined ground squirrel) tRNA
Rfam family: tRNA
About the family: Transfer RNA (tRNA) molecules are approximately 80 nucleotides in length. Their secondary structure includes four short double-helical elements and three loops (D, anti-codon, and T loops). Further hydrogen bonds mediate the characteristic L-shaped molecular structure. tRNAs have two regions of fundamental functional importance: the anti-codon, which is responsible for specific mRNA codon recognition, and the 3' end, to which the tRNAs corresponding amino acid is attached (by aminoacyl-tRNA synthetases). tRNAs cope with the degeneracy of the genetic code in two manners: having more than one tRNA (with a specific anti-codon) for a particular amino acid; and 'wobble' base-pairing, i.e. permitting non-standard base-pairing at the 3rd anti-codon position.
Source: Rfam by way of RNAcentral
GGUGUUGUAGCUCAGUGGUAGAGCACUUGCCUAGCUAGUAUGUGCAAGGCCCUGGGUUCGAUCCUUAGCACCA